UGGUUAGAGCAGGUAGCAUAGUUGUUAGAGCAGGUAGCCUAGUGGUUAGAGCAGGUAGCCUAGUGGUUAGAGCAGGUAGCCUAGUGGUUAGAGCCUAGUGGUUAGAGCAGGUAGCCUAGUGGUUAGAGCAGGUAGCCUAGUGGUUAGAGCCUAGUGGUUAGAGCAGGUAGCCUAGUGGUUAGAGCAGGUAGCCUAGUGGUUAGAGCAGGUAGCCUAGUGGUUAGAGCCUAGUGGUUAGAGCAGGUAGCCUAGUGGUUAGAGCCUAGUGGUUAGAGCAGGUAGCCUAGUGGUUAGAGCCUAGUGGUUAGAGCAGGUAGCCUAGUGGUUAGAGCAGGUAGCCUAGUGGUUAGAGCAG
Oncorhynchus keta (chum salmon) is the source of this 355-nucleotide long non-coding RNA. RefSeq lists it as uncharacterized. NCBI's taxonomy places the organism in Eukaryota, Metazoa, Chordata, Actinopteri, Salmoniformes, Salmonidae. The record is from RefSeq and is a predicted model, not a curated record. The transcript has 3 exons.